RNAcentral lists this ribosomal RNA (723 nucleotides) under uncultured archaeon. RNAcentral's name for it is "bacterial SSU rRNA". It matches the Rfam family "Archaeal small subunit ribosomal RNA", at positions 136 to 859 of the family's 1478-position model. The record is from RNAcentral.
GAAACUGAGGAUAAUACUGGAUAGGCAAUUUUUCCUGUAAUGGUUUUUUGUUUAAAUGUUUUUUCGCCUAAGGAUGGGUCUGCGGCCGAUUAGGUAGUUGGUUAGGUAAUGGCUUACCAAGCCGUUGAUCGGUACGGGUUGUGAGAGCAAGAGCCCGGAGAUGGAACCUGAGACAAGGUUCCAGGCCCUACGGGGUGCAGCAGGCGCGAAACCUCCGCAAUGUGAGAAAUCGCGACGGGGGGAUCCCAAGUGCCAUUCUUAACGGGAUGGCUUUUCAUUAGUGUAAAAAGCUUUUGGAAUAAGAGCUGGGCAAGACCGGUGCCAGCCGCCGCGGUAACACCGGCAGCUCUAGUGGUAGCAAUUUUUAUUGGGCCUAAAGCGUCCGUAGCCGGUUUAAUAAGUCUCUGGUGAAAUCCUGUAGCUUAACUGUGGGAAUUGCUGGAGAUACUAUUAGACUUGAGACCGGGAGAGGUUAGAGGUACUCCCAGGGUAGAGGUGAAAUUCUGUAAUCCUGGGAGGACCGCCUGUUGCGAAGGCGUCUAACUGGAACGGUUCUGACGGUGAGGGACGAAAGUUAGGGGCGCGAACCGGAUUAGAUACCCGGGUAGUCCUAACUGUAAACGAUGCGGACUUGGUGUUGGGGUGGCUUUGAGCUGCUCCAGUGCCGAAGGGAAGCUGUUAAGUCCGCCGCCUGGGAAGUACGGUCGCAAGACUGAAACUUAA